ACAAACUUGGUCAUUUAGAGGAAGUAAAAGUCGUAACAAGGUCUCCGUUGGUGAACCAGCGGAGGGAUCAUUACUGAGUUCUAUAACUCCCACCCUAUGUGAACAUACUAUAGUUGCCUCGGCGCGGCUUCAGGGCCUCGCCGGUGGACCACUAAACUCUGAUUUAUCCACUGUAUCUCUGAAUUUAGUAACGAAAUACGUUAAAACUUUCAACAACGGAUCUCUUGGUUCUGGCAUCGAUGAAGAACGCAGC
Molecule: unclassified non-coding RNA, 253 nt
Filed under: uncultured fungus
Lineage: Eukaryota; Fungi
Description: partial contains small subunit ribosomal RNA, internal transcribed spacer 1, and 5.8S ribosomal RNA
Rfam family: Eukaryotic small subunit ribosomal RNA (bases 1-73)
Source: RNAcentral